This is a non-coding RNA of Cercophora sp. LCS_1, 82 nucleotides long. Lineage: Eukaryota; Fungi; Ascomycota; Sordariomycetes; Sordariales; Lasiosphaeriaceae. The record is from the annotation of a GenBank genome assembly.
UCUUCCGUAGUAUAGUGGUCAGUAUGUGAGCUUGUCAUUGCGACUUUCGCUCGAGACCCGGGUUCAAUUCCCGGCGGGAGAG